Molecule: ribosomal RNA, 383 nt
Filed under: uncultured bacterium
Lineage: Bacteria
Description: bacterial SSU rRNA
Rfam family: Bacterial small subunit ribosomal RNA
Source: RNAcentral
AUUGAACGCUGGCGGCAUGCCUUACACAUGCAAGUCGAACGGCAGCACGGGAGCAAUCCUGGUGGCGAGUGGCGAACGGGUGAGUAAUAUAUCGGAACGUGCCCAGUCGUGGGGAUAACGUAGCGAAAGCUACGCUAAUACCGCAUACGAUCUAUGGAUGAAAGCGGGGGAUCGCAAGACCUCGCGCGAUUGGAGCGGCCGAUAUCAGAUUAGGUAGUUGGUGAGGUAAAGGCUCACCAAGCCGACGAUCUGUAGCUGGUCUGAGAGGACGACCAGCCACACUGGGACUGAGACACGGCCCAGACUCCUACGGGAGGCAGCAGUGGGGAAUUUUGGGACAAUGGGCGCAGCCUGAUCCAGCAAUGCCGCGUGCAGGAUGAAGG